RNAcentral lists this ribosomal RNA (301 nucleotides) under uncultured bacterium. RNAcentral's name for it is "partial 16S ribosomal RNA". It matches the Rfam family "Bacterial small subunit ribosomal RNA", at positions 509 to 809 of the family's 1533-position model. The record is from RNAcentral.
CAGCAGCCACGGUAAUACGAAGGGGGCUAGCGUUGCUCGGAAUGACUGGGCGUAAAGGGCGCGUAGGCGGAUGGUACAGUCAGAUGUGAAAUUCCUGGGCUUAACCUGGGGGCUGCAUUUGAUACGUGCGAUCUAGAGUGAGGAAGAGGGUCGUGGAAUUCCCAGUGUAGAGGUGAAAUUCGUAGAUAUUGGGAAGAACACCGGUGGCGAAGGCGGCGACCUGGUCCUUGACUGACGCUGAGGCGCGAAAGCGUGGGGAGCAAACAGGAUUAGAUACCCGGGUAGUCCCUGUCUCUUAUAA